RNAcentral lists this ribosomal RNA (429 nucleotides) under uncultured bacterium. RNAcentral describes it as "bacterial SSU rRNA". It matches the Rfam family "Bacterial small subunit ribosomal RNA", at positions 355 to 776 of the family's 1533-position model. The record is from RNAcentral.
UUAGGAAUAUUCGUCAAUGGGGGAAACCCUGAACGAGCAAUGCCGCGUGAAGGAUGACGGUCCUAUGGAUUGUAAACUUCUGUUGUUAGGGAAGAACGACUAGUAUAGGAAAUGAUACUAGAGUGACGGUACCUUUCAAGAAAGCUCCGGCUAACUACGUGCCAGCAGCCGCGGUAAUACGUAGGGAGCGAGCGUUAUCCGGAUUUAUUGGGUGUAAAGGGUGCGUAGGCGGUUUAACAGGUCUGUGGUCUAAGUCCGAAGCUUAACUUCGGUUCGCCACAGAAACCGUUUUACUUGAGUAUGGUAGAGGCAAGUGGAAUUUCUAGUGUAGCGGUUAAAUGCGUAGAUAUUAGAAGGAACACCAGUGGCGAAGGCGACUUGCUGGGCCAUCACUGACGCUGAGGCACGAAAGCGUGGGGAGCAAAUAGG